AGAGUUUGAUCCUGGCUCAGGAUGAACGCUGGCGGCGUGCUUAACACAUGCAAGUCGAACGAACCUUCGGGUUAGUGGCGGACGGGUGAGUAACGCGUGAGAAUCUGCCCUCAGGAGGGGGAUAACGGUUGGAAACGACCGCUAAUACCCCAUAUGCCUAUUGGUGAAAUGAAUUUCGCCUGAGGAUGAGCUCGCGUCUGAUUAGCUAGUUGGUGAGGUAAUGGCUCACCAAGGCUUCGAUCAGUAGCUGGUCUGAGAGGAUGAUCAGCCACACUGGGACUGAGACACGGCCCAGACUCCUACGGGAGGCAGCAGUGGGGAAUUUUCCGCAAUGGGCGAAAGCCUGACGGAGCAACGCCGCGUGAGGGACGAAGGCCUCUGGGCUGUAAACCUCUUUUCUCAAGGAAGAAGAUAUGACGGUACUUGAGGAAUAAGCCACGGCUAAUUCCGUGCCAGCAGCCGCGGUAAUACGGGAGUGGCAAGCGUUAUCCGGAAUUAUUGGGCGUAAAGCGUCCGCAGGCGGCUUUUCAAGUCUGCUGUUAAAGCGUGGAGCUUAACUCCAUCAUGGCAGUGGAAACUGAAAGGCUUGAGUAUGGUAGGGGCAGAGGGAAUUCCCGGUGUAGCGGUGAAAUGCGUAGAUAUCGGGAAGAACACCAGUGGCGAAGGCGCUCUGCUGGGCCAUUACUGACGCUCAUGGACGAAAGCCAGGGGAGCGAAAGGGAUUAGAUACCCCUGUAGUCCUGGCCGUAAACGAUGAACACUAGGUGUCGGGGGAAUCGACCCCUUCGGUGUCGUAGCUAACGCGUUAAGUGUUCCGCCUGGGGAGUACGCACGCAAGUGUGAACUCAAGGAAUUGACAGGGGCCCGCACAAGCGGUGGAGUAUGUGGUUUAAUUCGAUGCAACGCGAAGAACCUUACCAGGGUUUGACAUCCUGCGAACCUCUUAGAAAUUUGAGGGUGCCUUCGGGAAUGCAGUGACAGGUGGUGCAUGGCUGUCGUCAGCUCGUGUCGUGAGAUGUUGGGUUAAGUCCCGCAACGAGCGCAACCCACGUUUUUAGUUGCCAGCAUUUAGUUGGGCACUCUAGAAAGACCGCCGGUGAUAAACCGGAGGAAGGUGUGGAUGACGUCAAGUCAUCAUGCCCCUUACACCCUGGGCUACACACGUACUACAAUGCUACGGACAAAGGGCAGCAAACUCGCGAGAGCUAGCAAAUCCCAUAAACCGUGGCUCAGUUCAGAUCGUAGGCUGCAACUCGCCUACGUGAAGUAGGAAUCGCUAGUAAUCGCAGGUCAGCAUACUGCGGUGAAUACGUUCCCGGGCCUUGUACACACCGCCCGUCACACCAUGGAAGUUGGCCAUGCCCGAAGUCGUUACUCCAACCCUUGUGGAGGAGGACGCCGAAGGUGGGGCUAAUGACUGGGGUGAAGUCAUAACAAGGUAGCCGUA
RNAcentral lists this ribosomal RNA (1447 nucleotides) under uncultured bacterium. RNAcentral's name for it is "bacterial SSU rRNA". It matches the Rfam family "Bacterial small subunit ribosomal RNA". The record is from RNAcentral.